Molecule: non-coding RNA, 441 nt
Organism: Pelobates cultripes (western spadefoot toad)
Lineage: Eukaryota; Metazoa; Chordata; Amphibia; Anura; Pelobatidae
Source: the annotation of a GenBank genome assembly
CAUGACCUCAAAAAAGCAAUUCACACCAGACAUCCCAAGAAUAUUGCUGAACUGAAACAGUUCUGUAAAGAGGAAUGGUCAAGAAUUACUCCUGACCGUUGUGCACGUCUGAUCUGCAACUACAGGAAACGUUUGAAGUUAUUGCGGCCAAAGGGGGUUCAACCAGUUAUUAAAUCCAAGGGUUCACAUACUUUUUCCACCUGCACUGUGAAUGUUUACAUGGGGUGUUCAAUAAAAACAUGGCAACAUUUCAUUCUUUGUGUGAUUAGUUUAAGCAGACUGUGAUUGUCUAUUGUUGUGACUUAGAUUAUGAUCAGAUCACAUUUUAUGACCAAUUUGUGCAGAAAUCCAUUUCAUUCCAAAGGGUUCACAUACUUUUUCUUGCAACUGUAUAUAUACAGAAACACCCUGUAUGCAGUAGCACAACAACUUUGCUUUUUU